This 1073-nucleotide ribosomal RNA is filed under the name marine metagenome. RNAcentral describes it as "bacterial SSU rRNA". It matches the Rfam family "Bacterial small subunit ribosomal RNA", at positions 460 to 1520 of the family's 1533-position model. The record is from RNAcentral.
CAUCGGAACGUGACGGUACCCUAUAAGAAAGCCCCGGCUAACUUCGUGCCAGCAGCCGCGGUAAUACGAGGGGGGCAAGCGUUGUCCGGAUUUAUUGGGCGUAAAGAGUUCGUAGGCGGAUCAGUCAGUCGAAAUUGAAAUCCCAUGGCUUAACCAUGGUCCCGGUUUCGAUACUACUGAUCUUGAGUGAGGUAGAGGUAAGCGGAAUUCCUGGUGUAGCGGUGAAAUGCGUAGAUAUCAGGAGGAACACCAAAGGCGAAGGCAGCUUACUGGGCCUAUACUGACGCUGAGGAACGAAAGCGUGGGGAGCAAACAGGAUUAGAGACCCUGGUAGUCCACGCCGUAAACGAUGAGUACUUGGUGGUGGGGGAUUCGACCCCUUCACUGUCGGAGCUAACGCGUUAAGUACUCCGCCUGGGAACUACGACCGCAAGGUUGAAACUCAAAGGAAUUGACGGGGACCCGCACAAGCGGUGGAUUAUGUGGUUUAAUUCGAUGCAACGCGAAGAACCUUACCUGGACUUGACAUGUUAGUGAAACUCCGGUGAAAGCCGGAGCUUCCGCGAGCUUGCUCAAGGACACUAUCACAGGUGAUGCAUGGCUGUCGUCAGCUCGUGUCGUGAGAUGUUCGGUUAAGUCCGAUAACGAGCGCAACCCCUAUCCUUAGUUGCCAGCACGUAAUGGUGGGGACUCUAGGGAAACUGCCCGGGAUAACCGGAAGGAAGGUGGGGUCGACGUCAAGUCAGUAUGUCCCUUACGUUCAGGGCUACACACGUAAUACAAUGGAGAGUACAGAGGGUAGCAAAACUGCGAAGGGGAGCCAAUCCCAAAAAACUUUCCCAAGUUCAGAUUGCAGUCUGCAACUCGACUGCAUGAAGCAGGAAUCGCUAGUAAUCGCGCAUCAGCAUGGCGCGGUGAAUACGUUCCCGGGUCUUGUACACACCGCCCGUCACGCCAUGGAAGCCGGUAGCACCCAAUGUCAGUGUCCUAACCUUCGGGGAGGAGCUGCUUAAGGUGAGAUUGGUAACUGGGGCGAAGUCGUAACAAGGUAGCCGUACCGGAAGGUGCGGCUG